CCCGCCCUGGAGCCAGGACCUGGGAGGGAGCGUCUGGUGGCUGGGCCUUAGUCCAUGGGGCCCGGCCGGGCACAGCCCGAAGAGGAGACAUGGGCCCAUCCUCCCACAGGCCCACCACCCACAGGAGGCGCCAUAGGGGUCGGGUGCAUUGUGUGCCGGGUGGCGGCCAGGAGCGGAGGCCCUGGCGGACUGAUCCCUGGCUGCCAAGACUGGCAAUAGGGAUAUGGAAUGUCACCUCUCUGGUGGGGAAGGAGCCUGAGUUAGUGCGUGAGGUUGAGAGGUACCGGCUAGAUAUAGUCGGGCUCACCUCUACGCAUGGCUUGGGCUCUGGGACCAGUCUCCUGGAGAGGGGCUGGACUCCGUCUCAGUCUGGAGUUGCCCCUGGUAAGAGGCGGCGGGCUGGGGUGGGUAUUCUGUUUUCUUUUUUUUUUUCUUUUUUUCUCUUUUCUUCAGAUUCAAUCUGAGCCAUUCAAAUUCAAAUUGAACUUAUUCAAAUUGAGUUUCUGAUGGCACGGAUUUCUGCCCAUAGUACACCUACUUACUGGUUGUGUCGCAUCAGUCUGUGUCUCUGAGUUAACUUGUGUUUCUCCUACAGCUCCGGACCGCUAAAAAUGCGCGUGCUCUUUGUGAGCUCGUUCCCAGCUCGUAACCAGCGCGUUCUGCCGUCAAGGGCGAUCAUUGGUGAAAUGUGAUCAUGUGACUGAUGCAAGCCAGAUCCUUUUAUUUAGCAAAACUGUGAUUAAUAGUUAAAUAUUAUUUUUUUUCUUUUUUUUUUUUUUUUUUCCUUUUUUUUUUGCCUGUCCCGUUUGGCUCUUUUGCCAUCAGAAUUGUUGUCUAAAGGCAAAGAAAGAUGCCCAACGGAUUUACUUUACCAAAUUGACCAUCCCAGCCUUGCCGUAAUGGUCCAUUUGAUUCACCUUUUAUUGUUUAUUUUAUUUUCACUUACUGAAUACGGGACAGACUUGACUGGGGAAAGAAGGGGAGAAAGAAAGAGGGAAAGAGAAACAGCUGAGA
Astatotilapia calliptera (eastern happy) is the source of this 1014-nucleotide long non-coding RNA. The record is from Ensembl. NCBI's taxonomy places the organism in Eukaryota, Metazoa, Chordata, Actinopteri, Cichliformes, Cichlidae.